This 1610-nucleotide long non-coding RNA is filed under the name Pelobates cultripes (western spadefoot toad). The stretch from base 514 to 626 matches the Rfam family "Small nucleolar RNA SNORD89". The record is from RNAcentral. Lineage: Eukaryota; Metazoa; Chordata; Amphibia; Anura; Pelobatidae.
AGAACUGCUUUAUAUAACUAGCUUGCACAUAGCUCCUGCUACAUUUCCAAACUUCUCUUGUAUUUCUGUCCUCACUAAACUUGGGUUAGUGCUGCUGGGAAUGAUGACAGAAAAGGCCGAAUUGCAGUUCUCUCUUUAGAGCAGGACAAUGACAAAUCCCCUUGAAGCGAAAACUGAACUGACCUCUGCAGCUUUUCUCUAGUUUAAAUUAAAGCUUCUCAUUUGAUCCAUGGACUAGGUAUCUUUACUGCUGGAUUCUAUUACUCCUGUGUAAGAUGUAACAAUACAUUUAUUUCUCCAUACAGGUAUACUGUGGCUGGUGACUUGCUGGUCCCAAUGCCAAAGCCUGCUUUAUGGAGUCCAUGCAAGAUGAUUAAUGUGUAGAGCUGACCAUCAGUGUAAGUACAACUUCUAGUCUGAUCUGAAUUGGAUGAAUGUAAUGUUCACUGGGGUUAAAGCCCCUGGUGCAGCCAUGUUCCAUAGGCUUCCUGAUGUCUGGGCAUGAGACAUGGUACUGAGGGAUGAUGACAUAAAAGGCCGAAUUACAGAGCCUCUCCAAGCAGUUCUCUCUGUGGAAGAGGCUCGAUGACAAAACUCCUUGAAGCGAACUCAAAACUGACCUCAACCAAACAUGUCUUAAACUCUUACAGAGUAACCAAUAACUGUGUGAAUGCCACUAAUAUAGAACCCUUAAUGCAGGCUUACCAUUGGCUCUCCGUUACUAUAAUGGGUAACAUGAUGCAGAGCAAGUGCCUGGUGCGACAUCACUGCUUUAGGUGUCCUGAGGCCAACUCGCAGGACUUCCUUCAACAUAGCUGAGACUAGCUGCAGUUGUCUGUGGGUUUUUUAAACCUCUGGGAGAACAUGGAAACUGAGUGAGUGGUUAAUAUAACCACUUACUCCGCACAGACCUGAAGCACAUUUUAUUGCUUUAAACUGGGAUGUAAGAAUGCUAGACUGGGCCGUACCACACAAUGAGUGACUCUGAAAGAUUGGCACAAUUUACCAUGAAUAGCCUACAACUUGUAUCUGUGGGACUGUUGGAGGAAUUGGCAGAGCCACCAACGUUUGCUCUUUGCUUAAUGCCAUUAAAGAUAUCUAAUCCAAAGACCUCAUUCUUGCAGAGGUUCCCACAGUUCAAAGACCAGGACAAGGCUUUCUCUGCUCUUAUUGGCAUUAAUUGCUCAUAUUCCCCUCCCUGAAUCUCAUGAAGUGUCAGACUUAAAGAUCUGACUUCUGUCUCUUAAUCAGCCUGUUACCAAGCUAUUGGCUUGGUUUGAAUGUAAACUGAGUGUUAUUCAGGUCCCUGGCUAAAAAUAGUUUUAUUUGGCUUAAAACCAAAUCUAAUGUCUGAACUAUGACUGCCAGAUUAACUGUAAAUAUUUUUUGCUCACUACUUUCUUUUUUUAAAAACUGUUUAUUUUGUUUACAGUCAUCUCAAAGGUCGUUCAUCUGAGCAAUAUGAUCCAUUGUGACAUCCCUGAUGGUAAAAUGACAAGAUUCCUGGAAAUUCAAGCCCCUCUAGAGUCUAUUAAGACCAUGCACUUCAAUUAAAACAGAUUUCUUUUUAUUUAAAUAAAUGUUUCGAAUUUUAUACUUUUGUGGGUUUU